This is a long non-coding RNA of Malaclemys terrapin pileata, 2492 nucleotides long. RefSeq lists it as uncharacterized. The record is from RefSeq and is a predicted model, not a curated record. Lineage: Eukaryota; Metazoa; Chordata; Testudines; Emydidae. The transcript has 2 exons.
UCGUCAGAGACACCUUUCGCUGUUGCUUGUUUUACCAUCGCACGCAGUUGCCCCAGCUGUGCUAGGUGCUGUACAAACAGGACAGACAGUUCGAGGGCACGGGCUGAAGACGAAAUCCCCUCGUGGCUCUUUGGCUCAGACGUAGGCACCCAUGCUGGGUUGUCAUGGGGACGGGAAGGGCCUUGAUAAUCAGUGUUGUGGCAGGGGAAGUUCCGGGGUCACGCUCUGUCCCAAAACCCCGCCCCGCGGAGCAUCACGGGAGUCAGGACACUGCUCCGAUCCCCUCCCCCUGUUACCCUCACGCAGAGGCAGCUGGAAGCGUUCUCCUUCCCGUUCUCCCUCGUUCCGGAUGAGCCCCAUUCCCGCCCCCUGAGCACAAUCGAUCUCUAUGGGUCAGGCCGCUCCCUCAGCCCCAUGAGCCUCUAUGGUUCCAUUUUGGGAGCCGAACUCCAAACCCUCCAGGGUCCGGCGCUCUCCGGCAGACCUACGCCUCGCUUCCCGGCGCUGACACUUAGUCUCCUCUUCUGAUGACGCAUCAUACCAGGAAGUCCUCCAGGAGACUCCCUUGGCCCGGUAGGCGAUGUACUUCCUUCCGAUAAUAUCAUGGCUGAACCCAAGAAAAAAUGUAGACAAUAUAGUAUUGAAUAUUUGAACUAUGGCUUUAUUCAGUCGCCUACAAACAAAACAUUACCAAUGUGCCUGAUUUGCCAAAAAGUUUUAUCAAAUGAAGCUAUGAACCUUCAAGACUACAAGAACAUUUGACAAAAGUUCAUGCUGAUAAGAAAGAUAAGGAUUUAUCUUAUUUUCAAGCAUUUAAAGAAAAAUUUUUGAGACAGCCGACAUUGGCAAAACUCUUUUCAAUAGCAUCCAAAUAAGAUGACGAUGGGUUGCGUGCUUCUUACAACAUUUCGUUACUGAUUGCUAAAUCGGGAAAACCGCAUACUAUUGGUGUAGAACUAAUUCUACCGGCUAUAAGUGAGGUAAUACGCACUAUACUACACAAGCCAGCGUCUGAUAUUACCAAGAAAAUUUCUUUGAGCAAUAAUACAGUGCAAAGAAGAAUUGAUGAAAUGGCUCAAGAUGUUGAAGACUCAUUAUGUGAGUAUUUAAAAACAUCCCAGUUCUCUAUACAGCUUGAUGAGUCAACUUUGCCAGGAAAUGAAGCCUUACUUUUAGCAUACAUGCGAUUCAUAAAAGAAGAAAAAAAUUGCCAAGAAUUAUUAUUUGUUAAAAAUUUGCAAACUGAUACUAAAGGAGAAUCGAUAUUUCAUGCAUUGGAAGAGUUUUUUUUAAAGAAAAAGAAAUCCCCCCUGAGUAAUAUCUUGUCAGUUGCUACUGAUGGUGCUCCAGCGAUGAUAGGGCGCUAGAGGGGUUUUCUUGCAUAUUUAAAAAAAGCGGUUCCGAAUGUAUUCGCUGUACACUGUGUCAUUCAUCGUGAACAUUUAGUUGCCAAAAAUCUGAGUGAACCCCUACAUAGGUCAUUGUAUUAUGUCAUUAAAACAAUCAACAAAACCAGAAGCAAUUCACUGAAUGACAGAUUGUUUGGACAACUUUGUAUUGAAAACGAUGAAGAAUUCAAUCGCUUGCUGCUUCAUACAGAAGUUCGUUGGCUAUCAAAAGGUGCCUGUUUGGACUGGUUUUAUAAACUCUUUGACUCAGUGCUAGAGUUCCUAGAAAACAAAGAUGAUGCUUUACGAGUCAACUUGAUUGAUUCCAAAAAUGACAUAGCUUAUUUGACAGACUUAUUUAAUAAAUUUAAACAAACAAAUUUACAGCUCCAAGGCGAUGAGCUGAAUUUAAUCAAAACAAAAACUUAUUUCCGUGUUUGUGGCAAAACUUCUUCUGUACAAAUGAAAUUUAGGACAAGGAGAAUUCAGCCAGUUUCCAAAUUUAUCAACAGUAGAAAAACAUGAUGAAGACUUGCUUACCUACUGUCAGCACUUGGAGGCUCUCCAUUCUGACUUCAAUCAACCAUUUGAAGAUAUUCUUAAAAUGAACAUACCCGAUUGGGUUUUGGACCCUUUUUCAAGUACAAACACAGAAGAAUCUCCAAAAUUACAAGAAGAACUGAUAGAAGUAACAACAAAUGAGGAAUUUAAAUUUAAAUUCAAAGACAGCUACCAACAAUUUUGGCUGCAAAAGCAGAUACCUACACUUUAUCCUGGAUUAUGGGCUAUAGUACAAAAGUUUUUAAUUGCAUUUCCUUCGUCAUAUUUAGUGGAACGUGGGUUCAGUGCGGUCACAAAUCUGUUAACUAAAAAAAGAAACCGACUGAAAAUAGCUAAUCGCGGUGAUUUAAGAAUGCUGCUGACAAAAAUAGAGCCGAACAUUAAUAAAUUGAUAGCAGCGCACCAGGUUCAUCCUUCUCAUUAGGAUUAUUUUUAAUGUUAUUCGUCAUUUUUAUUUUAAUAUUAUCCUUCGUUAUCUUAAUUUUCUGUGUGUAAUGUGAAUGUUACUAUGGUUGAUUUUAAUAAAUAAUUUUAUAAUUUCAA